CCUACGGGAGGCAGCAGUGAGGAAUAUUGGUCAAUGGCCGAGAGGCUGAACCAGCCAAGUCGCGUGAGGGAAGACGGCCCUACGGGUUGUAAACCUCUUUUGUCGGGGAGCAAAGCGAACCACGUGUGGUUCAUUGAGAGUACCCGAAGAAAAAGCAUCGGCUAACUACGUGCCAGCAGCCGCGGUAAUACGUAGGGAGCGAGCGUUGUCCGGAAUUACUGGGUGUAAAGGGAGCGUAGGCGGGGAUGCAAGUUGGGUGUCAAAACUACCGGCUCAACUGGUAGUCGCACUCAAAACUGCAGCUCUUGAGUGAAGUAGAGGCAGGCGGAAUUCCUAGUGUAGCGGUGAAAUGCGUAGAUAUUAGGAGGAACACCAGUGGCGAAGGCGGCCUGCUGGGCUUUUACUGACGCUGAGGCUCGAAAGUGUGGGGAGCAAACAGGAUUAGAUACCCUGGUAGUC
Molecule: ribosomal RNA, 459 nt
Filed under: uncultured bacterium
Lineage: Bacteria
Description: partial 16S ribosomal RNA
Rfam family: Bacterial small subunit ribosomal RNA
Source: RNAcentral